Ziziphus jujuba (common jujube) is the source of this 3160-nucleotide long non-coding RNA. RefSeq lists it as uncharacterized. NCBI's taxonomy places the organism in Eukaryota, Viridiplantae, Streptophyta, Magnoliopsida, Rosales, Rhamnaceae. The record is from RefSeq and is a predicted model, not a curated record. The transcript is spliced from 9 exons.
AUCCAUAUCACACAUUGUCCUAUUAAGACGACAUGUCGUUAAUUAGAAACGACAUGUCGUUUUUGUGCGUGUGUAAGGGACCACUUGCCGUUUUGCUGACGUAAUCGAUGAUGUCAGCCAUUUUUUUUUUUUUUAAAAGAGUUUUGGGGUUCAAAAGGAGAAAAAAAUAUGGAGUUGAUUAAGGUUUAUAGUUUGGCACAAGCUUAAAAAUUAAAACUAAUAUAAAUUAAUUUUGGAAGUGAUAAAAAAUGUGGAAUUGGUUGGAUAAAUAAAUGUGUUUGAUCAAAUUUUAUGUUAUUUUAAGUUGUUUAUACGUAGUUAUGUAUAUAUAUACACAUAUAUAUACACUUUAAAUGUAGAUGAAAAUGAGCAGCAUUGGCAAUUUAAAUUGAAAUGGUUAUUUUGUAUUGUUUAGAAUUAUAUAAAUUAUGUAUUCGUAAUUUAGGAUUAUGGUUAUUUAUAUAUGCAUACAUAGUUGACUAUGUGGCUAAAGGUAGUUAAAAAGUUAUUAAUGUUGUCAAGUUACAUUUAUAGAUUGUAUUUUAUAAUGGCAUCAAAAAGGAAUUUGCGAUCUCAAUCGAAGAAGGGAGUUAAGAAGAUGCAAACUAAGAGACGCGGUGGCAGCAUAUCAACACCCGACUCUAAGCAUCGACGAACUACUAGGUAGCAAUCCAAAGCUGAGAAAGAAACUACCAAACUUCCAAGACACAUUCCAAUCUCCUCUUCCCCAUCUGAGAUGGCCAACGACACUCCAAAGGAACAGAUUUUUCAAAAUGCCGAUAUAUUUAAAGUUAGGGCACAUUCAUUCGGGAAUCCAAUAGAAGCGAAUGAAGUAAUUACAAGUGUCCUCACAAGUGAGCAGUUGGAAAAGUAUAGACAAACAUGUUUUGGACACUUACUUGACAUGAAGAACCUCAAGUUCUCUGGUCAUCUAGUGCAUCACCUGUUUUGUAGACGAAUUGUGUCCAACAAUCUAGAAGUAUUGGAGUUUAACUUCGGCGGAUCUGGAGUGCGGUUUACGAAGUGGGAAUUUGCACUAAUUAGUGGCUUAAAGUUUUGUAGUUGCCCUUCCAUAUAUGAUAUGCUAAAUCCAAAAGGAAAUGAGCUGCGCACGAGGUUGCUAGAAGAUAUGACUGACUUGAAACCGCUCGAACUGGCUUGAAUAUUCAAGGGUACACAUUAUGUGGAUGAUUGGGAUGCUAUAAGAAUUACAUUACUAUAUUUCUUAGUUCAUGGUGUACUCGGAAUGGAUUCGAGGGUUCAAAUAAAUAGAAAAUUCAUUGAUUUGGUUGCUGAUAUGGAGGUAUUUAAUUCCUACCCUUGGGGCUUUUUGAGCUACAAGGAGACAAUUGACUCAUUGCACAAUGCAUUCCACCAUAGAGGACGUGCAGUAAAGAAUAAAUCACAGUCGUAUGAUCUAAAAGGUUUUCCAUUAGUGUUUCAGGUGUGGGGGUUUGAAGUAAUCCCUGAUUUCGGUAACCAUUUUGGCGAGCGGUGGGAAACCCAUUGUCCGAGGAUCCUUGGAUGGCAUGCUACAAGUUAGCCAAGCCAUUUUGCUGUCCAUUAUUGGUUCACCUCAAAUAGCAAGUAUGUUGCGCACUGGAGGUUAGACGCUACCGAUGAGGGGAAGACUAUGGAUUAUUAGCGAACAAUAGCAGUGAACAUACAUAAAGUUCGCUAUACGAUACCACCACUUGUAGCACCGAUAGCCACCGUUGGUGCUAAAGAUGCGUCCAAAGUUGAGGAGCAUUCUAGUGCCCCUCCAGAUGCUAAUUUCAGGCUUGCUUGCUUGGAGGCAAAAUUUGAUGAAUUAAAGAAAUUUGUGGAUGAUUGUCAUCACGAAGCGAAGUAAGAGAUGGCAUCGUUAAGGAAGAUGCUUAGUUCUGUUAUUGACCAACUGAAGCAUCAGGCUGAACAUCAUAUGCACACCCAUUCACCAUCUUCGGUGUGACCAUCAUCCCCUCUGGCACCGUCAUUUGGAAAGCAAGCCGAAGAAUUUUAUGCACCCAUAGAAGGUUCCAAUGGUAGGAAGGAGGAUGACAAUUAUACAAAACCGUUCGAGCCUAUCGUACCUGAAGGAGCCUAUGUGGAGGAUUCUUGGGCUUUGGUGCCAUAUCGGCCUUUGCAUUUGGGGUGGGAUAUCAGUGCUUCAACUAACAAUCCAUAUCAUGACCAAUUAGCUGAGAGUGAGGUGGAGGCUUAGACGCAUAAAGUUGGUGAUAAAAGCCGAUUCGGUAGAGUUUACCACCACUCACAUCAUGUCAUCUCUCUUUACAUCGACCCGUGUAAGAAGAAGGUCAAAUUUAAUCUUAAUCGACAUAUUGAUGCAUCAAAGGAGAGGGCGUUCGAUGAGUGGUAUAGGGUGGCACCGAAUGGAGUGACCGUGUGUACAUCUUAUCUGAUGGUGGGGAAGAAAUUUUUUGCUGAGUUACUUACCCCUGCAGGAUGGUUGAGUUCCGAUCACAUUGACACUAUUUUGUAUUUCAUACGAAAAUGACGGUUUGAGAAUGAGAAGAUGUUCACCCACAACUGUGCCAUAUUAGACAUGUUAUUUUGGUCAUCCAUCAAAGGCCGUUAUCCCAUAUGGGAGGCAUCUCGAAGCACAUAUUCAUGUGAUUCGACACUUCGUAGCUAUGUGCGUGGGAAGUCACCCAAACUUAGCAUGCCGUGGUAGAGAUGUGAUUAUGUGUACAUCCCUGUCAACAAUGGAGGCGCCCAUUGGUUGGCAGCAUGUGUGGACUUGAAGGCUCAACAUAUUGAUUUAUAUGAUCCAAAUAUGGGAAAUAAAUAUGUCCAGAAUAAAGAGUUGGACAAUGCGAAAUGCCUUAAGUAUAUGCUGCCUUACCUAUUGAGGGAUGGGGGAUAUUACGAGAAGAAUCCGGAAGUGCUUCCCACUUUAGAGCCAUUCACGAUGACCAUAUCAAGGAUGCACCUUGCCAAGAUAAUGGUUAUGAAUGUGUUGUCAUUUCCAACCACUUCUAUUGCUGUUGUUUAAUUGUACUUAUGUGUAGAAAUUCACGUGGUUGGUUUUCAUUAAUGUUAUUCAUUAAUGCUAUUCUGUAGGGGUGAUAGUGGUGUCUUCGCUUUGAAAUUUAUUGAAUACAAGAGCAGUGAGGAGAACCUUUUAUUUAGCCCGAAAGACAUUAGCUUGUUUAGAAAA